This is a non-coding RNA of Halobacteriaceae archaeon, 67 nucleotides long. The record is from Rfam. NCBI's taxonomy places the organism in Archaea, Methanobacteriati, Methanobacteriota, Halobacteria, Halobacteriales, Halobacteriaceae.
CCCGCCUCCCGGCGGACGGGACGAAAUGUGGCUUCCGAGGUGUCGCGCCUCUCGGCUGAAUCGCAAG